GAUGAAGAACGUAGCGAAAUGCGAUAAGUAAUGUGAAUUGCAGAAUUCAGUGAAUCAUCGAAUCUUUGAACGCACAUUGCGCCCGUCAGUAUUCUGGCGGGCAUGCCUGUUCGAGCGUCAUUACGCCGCUCAAGUCCCCUGUGGACUUGGUGUUGGGGAUCGGCGAGGCUGGUUUUCCAGCACAGCCGUCCCUUAAAUUAAUUGGCGGUCUCGCCGUGGCCCUCCUCUGCGCAGUAGUAAAACACUCGCAACAGGAGCCCGGCGCGGUCCACUGCCGUAAAACCCCCCAACUUUUUAUAGUUGACCUCGAAUCAGGUAGGACUACCCGCUGAACUUAAGCAUAUCAAUAAGCGGAGGA
RNAcentral lists this unclassified non-coding RNA (358 nucleotides) under soil metagenome. RNAcentral describes it as "partial contains 5.8S ribosomal RNA, internal transcribed spacer 2, and large subunit ribosomal RNA". The stretch from base 1 to 120 matches the Rfam family "5.8S ribosomal RNA", at positions 35 to 154 of the family's 154-position model. The record is from RNAcentral.